AACGCACAUUGCGCCCGCUAGCUCUCUAGCGGGCAUGCCUGUCCGAGCGUCAUUUCACCGAUAGAGCCCCCGGGCUUGCGUUGGGAUGCCACGGCCUCCAGGGCCGUGUGUCCCGAAAUACAGUGGCGGACCCGCCCGACCCUCAGCGUAGUAAUAAUCAUCUCGCUUCAGGGCCUCGGCGCGGGUAGCUUGCCCCUAAACCCCGGCGGCGGGCGCUGCGGCGCCCCCCCGAGACACACUGGUUGACCUCGGAUCAGGUAGGAAUACCCGCUGAACUUAAGC
RNAcentral lists this unclassified non-coding RNA (282 nucleotides) under uncultured fungus. Its description in RNAcentral is "sequence contains ITS2". Lineage: Eukaryota; Fungi. The record is from RNAcentral.